AUGUAUGACAGAAAAAAAAUUCGUUCGGCCCAAAAUGUCACGGAUGUGUCUUUUUUUUGUAGUGAUGUGUGCUUUCAGGCUUGCAAGAGAGGUUUCAUAGAAGGGUGCAGGAAAGUUGUGGGAUUGGAUGGUUGCUUCUUUAAGGGGGCUCAAAGUGGAGAACUAUUGUGUGCUCUUGGAAGAGAUGCAAAUGGGCAAAUGUAUCCCAUUGCUUGGGCUGUUGUUGAAGUAGAAAAUAAGGACUCCUUGUUCUGGUUUAUGGCAUUGUUAAAUAAAGACUUGGAGAUUGCAAAUCAAGGUGAAGGAUGGGUGUUCAUGUCAGAUCAAUAGAAAGGUCUUAUCAAUGCUAUCUCCAAGGUUGUACCAAAUGCUGAAAAUAGAAAUUGUGCUAGGUACAUUUAUGCUAACUGGAAGAAAAAGCAUAGGGAUCAAUCAUACCAGAAGAGAUUUUGGGCUUGUGCAAAAUCCUCAAAUAGAGUACAAUUCAACUUAAACAGAGGAAAGCUUGCUUAGCUCACACCAGAUGGAGCAAAAGAUAUGGUACAGUUAGGUCCAGAGCAUUGGUGUAGAGCAUGGUUCAGAGAAGGAUCAUGUUGUGAUUUAGUAGACAACAAUAUGUGUGAAAGCUUUAACAACUGGAUAGUAGAAUACAGAGGACCUCCUAUUAUCAGAAUGUUUGAAGCAAUUAGAGCAAAUGUGACAGUAGGGAUUCAAGUGAACAGAGCUAUGCCUGUUAAAUGGAAUGGAACAAUUUGUCCAAAAAUCCUCAAAAAAGUGAAAAAGUUGAUACAACUAACUGAGAAGUGUGAGACAAUAUGGAAUGGGAAAGAUGGAUAUGAGAUGAAGUUAGGACAGCAUGCAUGCAAAGUUGACAUGCAAGCUAGGACAUGUUCUUGUAGAUAUUGGCAAUUGUUAGGAAUUCCAUGUGUUCAUGCUCUUGCAGCUUCACAAUGUGGUCCUGGUGACAUUGAAUCACUUAUUGCACCUUGCUACAACAUUGAGGCCUAUAACAGGACCUAUGAACACUGCAUGAUGCCAAUGGAGGGCAUGCCUAGCUGGCCAAUAGCUGACAGACCAAGGCCUUUAGUUCUAGACUAUGUGCAAAUGCCUGGGAGACCAAGGACAGAGAGAAGGAGGGGAAGUGAUGAGCCUCCUAAACAUGCACACAAACUAUCUAAGAUUGGGACAAAGAUCAAGUGUAGUCUAUGUGGGCAACCUGGGCAUAACAUGAAGAAAUGCAAUACAAACCCCAACAAAGGAAAGUACAUGAAUAAGAAGAGGAAAAAGGAAACAAAAGUGUGUAAAUGA
This 1308-nucleotide ribosomal RNA is filed under the name Triticum aestivum (bread wheat). RNAcentral describes it as "partial small subunit ribosomal RNA". The record is from RNAcentral. Lineage: Eukaryota; Viridiplantae; Streptophyta; Magnoliopsida; Poales; Poaceae.